UUGCAUUCCAUUUGGAGUUCUCCAUCAUGAGCAAUUGGUCAUGGGAGACAGCUUCCUCGCGUGAGUUUAAUUUAUGUUGUAUUAUCUUAUUGCAUUAUAU
Syngnathus acus (greater pipefish) is the source of this 100-nucleotide long non-coding RNA. RefSeq lists it as uncharacterized. The record is from RefSeq and is a predicted model, not a curated record. Lineage: Eukaryota; Metazoa; Chordata; Actinopteri; Syngnathiformes; Syngnathidae. The transcript is spliced from 3 exons.